This 465-nucleotide ribosomal RNA is filed under the name uncultured Klebsiella sp. RNAcentral describes it as "bacterial SSU rRNA". It matches the Rfam family "Bacterial small subunit ribosomal RNA", at positions 338 to 795 of the family's 1533-position model. Lineage: Bacteria; Pseudomonadati; Pseudomonadota; Gammaproteobacteria; Enterobacterales; Enterobacteriaceae. The record is from RNAcentral.
CCUACGGGAGGCUGCAGUGGGGAAUAUUGCACAAUGGGCGCAAGCCUGAUGUAGCCAUGCCGCGUGUGUGAAGAAGGCCUUCGGGUUGUAAAGCACUUUCAGCGGGGAGGAAGGCGUUAAGGUUAAUAACCUUGUCGAUUGACGUUACCCGCAGAAGAAGCACCGGCUAACUCCGUGCCAGCAGCCGCGGUAAUACGGAGGGUGCAAGCGUUAAUCGGAAUUACUGGGCGUAAAGCGCACGCAGGCGGUCUGUCAAGUCGGAUGUGAAAUCCCCGGGCUCAACCUGGGAACUGCAUUCGAAACUGGCAGGCUAGAGUCUUGUAGAGGGGGGUAGAAUUCCAGGUGUAGCGGUGAAAUGCGUAGAGAUCUGGAGGAAUACCGGUGGCGAAGGCGGCCCCCUGGACAAAGACUGACGCUCAGGUGCGAAAGCGUGGGGAGCAAAUAGGAUUAGAUACCCGGGUAGUC